RNAcentral lists this long non-coding RNA (12063 nucleotides) under Populus trichocarpa (black cottonwood). RNAcentral's name for it is "long non-coding RNA (PTRI_LNC004455)". The record is from RNAcentral. Lineage: Eukaryota; Viridiplantae; Streptophyta; Magnoliopsida; Malpighiales; Salicaceae.
GUGUCUCAUUCAAUACUUUUUUUGGGAAUAUAGAAUGGAGGAAAACAUAAGAAUUUCUACUUCAAUUGUUCUAUCAGUCUUUAUUUUGUUUAUUAUUGUUAUUGUAUUUUCUCUGUACUCAGUUGUGCCUCGCUUGGCUGUUGAGAAUCUGCUGCCUGCAAUCAAAAUCAUUGUUUUGUAAUUGGGUAAUUUAAUUCAUUUGGUAGCUUAUAGGUUUGAAUUUUAUAGUAUAAAAGGGGAAAGGAGGGACUUUUAUAUUUAACGCACUGUUGGUUGCCAAGUUAUUGCAGCAAAUGAGAAACUGAAUUCUGAUUGAAGAACGUAGUAGCAUCAACUAACCAUGGAAACUUGAUAUUGAAUCACCUUAUUUUGUGCUUUCAUGACAAGUCAGUAUUUGACAUAUGCGUCUGAAUUUUCUCCUGGCUUACAGGUAUUCUGCACUUGUUUAAAAACCAGCUGCAAACCUAUGCGCAAAAGAGAAAUUUCACUCGACCUGUGUAUUCUUGUGAGCGUGUGGGUCCUCCUCAUGCUAUUCGCUUUAAGUGCAAGGUCACUGUAAACGGACAAACCUAUGAGAGUCGGGAAUAUUUUCCCACAUUGAGCAAAGCUGAAAAUGCAGCUGCAAAAGCUGCAUUGAUGUCAUUGUUGCCAAAUGGAGUUGAAGAGGUUAUUUUUCUAAAUAAACUCAUUGUGGAGAUGCAAAAAUCUGUUGGUUACGCUUGCAAUUUUUGUGUUUGUAUCUUUUAGACACAUGAUUACACUUCUUUAUGUAAUUUAUUGUUUUCUUUUUAGGAUGAAUCUGGUUAUAAGAAUCUUUUACAAGAUAUGGCUCAGAGAGAAGGUUGUGGUUUGCCAACUUAUUUUACAGAGAAAUCUGGUGAAGCUCAUGCGCCUACUUUCAUUUCAACAGUGGAGAUAGAUGGAGUGAAUUUUACUGGAAAAGAAGCAAGAAAUAAGAAGCAAGCAGAGAUGAGUGCUGCAAAGAUUGCAUACACAGCUCGAAGACGUUGACUGGUGCUCAAUGGGGAUGCGGGUUUAUGUUGUGUCUUUAUGCAUAUCCAUGGCAGAUGUGUGCAUGCAUAUGACACCAUAGAACAGUGUACAGAUAUCAAACGUUUUUUACUAUCUUAGAGUACAAGUCGGUAAAUCAGGAUAGAGAGUAACUCAAACUUGCGUCUCCAUGCUAUUUUAGAUGAUUUGACAUGAAUAACACCUGCCUCCAGGUAGAAAGCUUUAACUGUGAUAUAAGAUGAACUCACAAAAAUCUUCACUGAGGUUACUCUAUAGUUUUGUUGAAGAAUAGAAAACCACUCCUAGUUUAAGAACCUUCUUUUGAUGUCAUUUUCUACCUGUUCCUAUAUUCUAAUGGGCCAAUAUAUUUACCAAAUGCCUUCCUGUCUGCUUUCCAAUUCCAGAGAAAAAGGUUUGCUGGUUUCAACUGAUGAGCACUAUUUUUGCAUUUUCUUUCCAAAAGAAUAAAAAUAUUGGAAUUGCUGGCAGCAAAUUCUGUAGUUAGCAAUCAUCUCCAUUGCAUCUCCAGGGCAAGAUAGUUCAGCAAUGGCAAGCAUCACACCUUCGCCUGCCGCAGCCAUCUCUUCGUCGCCUAAACAUGACCUGACUUCAUCUUCUUUGCCUUCUGAUUCCCCCACUAGUUUAGCCACAAGCUCAAGCAUCGAGUAUCAAACACAGCCUACAACCUUAAAGAUGAACAAUUCAAGUAAAAUGGAUGAGCUUCCUCUCUCAUAAUCCAAUAUUCAAAAUUCAAUGUUAUAACUGUCGUCACAAAGUAAAAAAAAAAGAUACCAUUAAUCAUAUUCAAAAUUCAAUAUUUUGUUUGUCUUUGGGCACCAAAACAGAGAGAGAGAGGGAGGGAAUCGCAUUGGAUUUUGUUGUUAAUAACACUAAUCCUUAAUCAACAAAGGCUCCGGCUCUCCAUAAUCCUGAAUUGUCCAUGAUCAGACUACAAAGAUUCUGUACUCCUAAAAACAAAUUUUAAAAAAUUGGCCACAUAUUUUAUAGUCCAAAAUGAUUAUUCUCCAAAUCUGUCCAGUUGUGAGAUGGAGAUUUUAUAUGGUCAAGAAAUUGGAUCUUCCAGGUAAAGCUUUGAUCGUGUUAACCAAUCUGAAAAUCAUUUCAUAUCAUUUAGGAUCAUUAGUAUUAUACUUUCUGUAGAUCUUAUGGUAACAAAAUCAAUGUGUCAAAUUUUUUUACAAAAAAAUAAAAGGAAAGAAAAGAAAUGGAAGUAACCAACUAUGAGUGACCAAGUUGGUAAAAUGGAUGCGAGCUAAAAGACCUUAUGUGGUAUCUAAUUUAACUUUCUUUACUUUCUAAUAUUGAUGGCAACGGAAUACAUAGUGUAAGUCUUGUUUUACAGUUUUAUUCAAGAUAUAGAGAUUUAGUUUAGUGCGUGUAAACUGACUUAAAAUACGGCACACAGAGAGAGAGAGAGAAGAAGAGAGAUGAACCUAAAAAACUUUAUAUUAAAAACACAAUCAUGGGACAUAAUUUCUCUAGCCCCCAUAGAAAUGAAAGAAAUUAAGUGGGGAGGUGUAAUUUCGUAAUGUGGUAUAACCUAGCCAUUGCUUGAAAGGAUAGUAUGAUAAUUAAUUAGGUGUCCAUGUUCAUGGUAGGUGAAUGCUAAUUUUAGCUAACAAAGAAGCUUUCUCCCCAGUAGAGAGACUGAUAACUCUGAAAACCCUGAAUCGAGUCGAAGCACCAAGAAAGUGAAAUUGAGAGACAACGAUUUGGAGGUUGGAACUGGUGAUGGUCUUGUUAUGAUUGCUUCUUUGCAAGCGGACACCAUAGAUUACAAGAAGGUGGUGAUAAAGGGGAAUGAAUCUGAAGCAGUAGCAGUACCAGCCUUCGAGGGGCAAUCUCAUUGACAAUAUUGAUGUGGAGGAUGGAGAUGUUGUGGUUUUGGACGAAGCCUUUUCGAGUGAUUGACCUAGAAAAUGAUUAUUUCUUCAAUUUUUGGAACAAGCUGAUUAUGUGCAUGCUUUUGUUAGUGGUCCUUGAGCAAUCUUGGGUCAUUGUUUAACAAAGCAGCCAAAGGGUUGAAUAUAUUUUUAGGGGUAAAACUUAUUCUUCUAUAUAAGUUAUUUAACAUAAAAUAUUAACAUGAUUAAAAUAAAUUAUAAAUGAAUGACAAAUUGAAUCUUUAAUUAACAUGCUUGUUAUGAAAUAUAAAAUAUUUCAUGUACGAAAUAUACAAGAUUUUCUUAUAGUUUAUUUAAUAAAAAGUUGAAGGAUUAUAAUUAACCUAAGUAUAUUGUAUGAGUUUAAUUCAUAAGUGUGUAUUUAGCUUAGGCUCAACCCACGAGCCUAAACUAUUUUAGUCUUGGAUUUGAAUUUAUUAUUAUAAAAUAAUUCUUUCAUCCAGAAAAAAACUACUUUUGUCAACCUCUUAUUUUGUUCAAUUCAACAAAUGAAUUUGAGUAUUAUUUUUUUUUCAAAAGAUUUUUUUUAAAACCUAAACAAUUUUUUCAGCUAAAAAAUAUCAAAUUUUAAGCCGAAAUAUUCAGGUUUAAUUUUGAUUUUAUAACAAAUAAUCAAAGCGGGUAAUGUUAGGAAGUAAUCCGGAUAAUUAUCAAAUCCCCCCCCUCCCCCCGGCGAAACAUCUAAAAAUUUGUUUUUGUUUAGUGUAUGCUUGUUUAUGCAAAAUCUUGUUUGUAUGUUUAUGCAUAUCAUUUAGUUUUUAUUCUAAAUUAUAAUGACAUGAUGCAUAUUUAAAAGAACUAAAAUAAUAUUAAAGUAUUUAUUUAAUCUUGUAUAGUUGGAAUAUUUUUGUUUGUUUACUUGCUUUACAAGCUUUAUGUUAGACGUUUUUAUUUUCAUGGGAGGAUCCAAAACUUAUUUAUAAAUAUAUGGUUAUUACUAUUUUUAUAUAGAUUUUACGAUGACUUCAACUCAAAAAUUGGUUGUCCCAGCCAAUGUUGUUUUGACAAGUACUACUCAUGAAGAUUUCACAACAUCUCUUGCAGUACUUAAUGAGAAAAAAAUUUAAUAGAUUGAACUUUAAGAGGUGGUAGAAAAAAAUAUAUUUCAUCUGACCAUCUUGAACUUAAUAAAGUUCUUGACAGAGGAAGCGUCAAAGUUGCCAAAUAAUAAUCCGAUCUCAUUAUUGUGGCAGCUAUGGACGCAUGGAGUCAUAAUGAUUUUGUAUGCAAAAAAUACAUUUUAAAUGGAAUGGACAAUACAUUAUAAGAUGUGUGUAAUUCAAUCAAGGCUGAAGAUGCCCGUAUGAAAAAAAUUCAUAGUCAAUAAAUUUUUAAAUCUUGAUUUAAGGACUGUUAUGAGCCAAGUUCAAGAAUUUCAGCUCAUCUUCUAUGAUAUUAAUGAUAAAGGUAUGUUACUAAGUGAAUCAUUCCAGGUGGUUACAAUAAUUGAAAAAUUACUACCAUCUUGGAAAGACUUUAAGAACUAUGUUAAGCAUAAGCAUAAGAAAAUAAAAGUUGAAGAUAUCAUUAUGAGGUUAAGGAUAAAAAAGGACAAUAAGUUAUUUGAAAAAAGAGCCAGCUCUUCCCUUUUCUUUUGAUAUCUGGCCAAACGAGCCAUUUUUUUAUAUAAAAAAAUUUCAAAAAAAAUUAGGGAUCUUCGUUGAUUUAUUUAUAGGUCCCUUACAUUUUUUUUUUGUUUUGUUUUGAUAGCUUUUAUGGUAUAUACAAUUUAUAGACUCUUACUGUUAAAUGUGAAUAUGAUAUGCAAUACAUCUUUUCUUUUCUUUUUUCUUAAAAAAGGGUAGUAAUAAUAAAAAAAAUAAAAAAAAAAUGUUUCCUUUUCUUUUAAUUCAAAUUUUAAGGAUUUAUUUACUGGUACCAAAGUCAGGAAUACUAUACUUUUUGGGUUACACAAUAUUUACCAACACUAAAGUUGAAAAUAUUCAUAGGCAACUAUUCACCAAUAUCAGAGUCAGGAAUAUGAUAAACAGACCAUUAAAGCAUAAUACAAAAAAUCCUUAGCAAUUCAAGACAAAACCAGCAUUGCAGCCUACCUUAGGUAGGACACAUAAGUGGUAAUAAUAUCUUUCCUUUUGCGUAACUAGUUUCGGACCAUAGAAUCUCUGUUGACUAGUUAGGGUUCCUAGUGACCAUAAAACCAGCAUUGCAGCCUAUCUCAGGUAGGAUGCGUAAGAGGUGAUAAUAUCUUUUCUUUUACGUAACCAGUCUCGGACCAAAAAAUCUCUGUUGACUAGUUAGGGUUCCUAGUGACCAUAAUAUUAGGUGUCGACUCCUUAAACUAGACCUUUUCCCUUAAGAAUAAGAUGCUAGAUAUCUGUUCUUCGCAUUUUUAGAAUUUUUUUUUAAAGAUCGCUGUGAUGUCAGGUGAUAUUAUCCUUAUACUAGACAAAUGAUAUUCAUCAUAAUGCUUAAAUAUAAUCAAUAAAUGUUUUAUUUUUUCAAGAUAUGCUUCCAUUAAAAUAAGCACAAGAAAACAGUUCAAUGAAGAAAACAAUUAAAGCUAGCUUAAGUAGUCAUCAUCAAUUGAAAGAUGAUGAAGUUGAGCCUAAAACGAGUAAAAAGAAAAAAAAUAAAAACCAAAAUGAUUGGUCCUGAUUUUUUAACAUACAUGUUAGAAAAUGAACCUCAAAUAUGUUUUAAGACAAUGUUUUAUCCUAAAGCUUUUUAUUAAAAUAAGGUAAUUGAUAGUGAAAUUGAAUCAAUUAUGAAUAAAUCAUACAUUGAAACUAAUGGAUCUUUCACUUGGAAAUAAACCAUUAGGACAUAAAUAGAUCUCUAAGAAAAAAAAAUGAAUGUUGAUGGAACUAUUGAUAAAUAAAAGUAAGACUUAUUGUUAAAGGAUUCAAACAACAUGAAGGUGUGGAUUAUUUGGACACUUAUUUACCGAUAUCAAGAAUAACUUUCAUUUAAAUGUUAAUAACCAUCACAACUAACAACAAACUUGAAAUACAUCAAAUAGAUGUAAGAAUAUCUUUCUUAAAUGGUGACCUUGACAAAAAGAUAGAACAAUUCGAGGGGUUUAUUGUAAGUGAACAAGAAAAGAAAAUCUAUAAGUUUGUGAAGUUAUUAUAUGGUUUAAAAUAAUUACCUAAAUAAUGACAUAAAAAAUUAACAAGGUUUUAUUGUCAAAUAAGUUUUUAAUUAAUAAAAUUGAUAAAUAUGUUUAUAUGAAAAAAAUAGAUACAAAUUAUGUCAUUAUAUGUCUCUAUAUUGAAAACAUGCUAAUGUUAGAUAUCAAUGAUCACAUGAUUAGUCUAUUGAAAAAAUAUUAAUUAAUAAGUUUGACAUGAAAGGUUUGGGUGUUGGAGAUGUCAUACCAGGAAUAAAAAAUUCUAGUGCAUCUAAUGAAUUGGUAUUGUUCCAAUCUUAUUACAUUGAGAAAAUUAUCGACAAAUUUUUAAAAGCGAUAAUAGCACUAUCAAAAUACAAAUUGACAUAAGUUUACAUCUAUUUAAUAUAGAUAUAAGAGAAUAAACAAAUUAGAAUAUUUAAAAAAAAUUAAAAAGCCUAAUGUACGUCAUGAAUUGUACAAGACCUGAUGUUGCUUACUCGAUUACUAAAUUGAGUAGAUUUAUCAAUGAUCAGAGUAUGGAUCAUUGAAAAGCAAUAAAAUGGAUACUCAAAUAGUUGAGAUAUACUUUGGACUAUAAACUACACUAUAUUAUUUACCUAGCGGUACUAGAAGGGUAUAGUGAUGCCAAAAAAAAUAUUUAAUAUUAAGGAUUUGAAAUCCACUAGUUAAUAUAUCUUCACAUUUGAUGGCACAAUUGUGUCAUGAAAAUCCUCUAAGAAAACUCAUCACAAGAUGAAUGAUGAAAUUGGAGUUUAUUGUGCUCGAUAAAUCUAGAGAGGAAGCUAAGUGACUUCAGAAUUUCUUAGAGGAUAUUUCAUAUUGACCGAAACCAAUGUUAUCAAUUUGUUUCAAUUGCAACAGUCAGUCUGCAAUUAGAAAGACACAAAGUUGUGUGUAUAAUACACACACACACACACACAUUGUUAAACACUUGCUUUCAAAUUGAAUUAUUUUUAUUAACUAUGUAAAUUCAAAGAAAAGAUAUAUUAGAUCUGCUAACCAAAUGUUUAUUGAGAGAACUUUUAUAUAAUUCAUCGAGGGGAAUGAGAUUUAAACCUUUAAAGAUAAAAAAUAUAUAUAUAUAAUAAUGGUAACCAUACCUAAUUUCUCAAAGAUUCUAAGAUCUAUAUUAAAAUGAAAAACUAAGUCAUAUAACUUUUUUGAUAGAACUCAGAAAAUAUUAUUUCUUGUUUAUUCAUAUAAUGAAACAUGCACUGGUUAUAGGAUGAUAAAUGGUGAGCUAUGUUUUUGAUAAUUUUUAUAUCUUGGUAUGCCAUAUGAAGUAUAGAGAUAUACUUUUAAUGAAAGAUUACCUAUAUGAGUGAUCAAUAUGGUUAUUCCUUUGAAAAUUUUGAUAAAAUGAUGAAUUUCUUAAAGUAAUCAUGGAUCCAAGAAUUGUUCAAUGCUAAAAUAAACACAACAGUGAAAAAUAAAAGAAAAUAUCUAGAUGAAAAACCAUGUGAAAGAUAUUAUAUUGGUUUACACAAAAGGCCGAAUAGUUUAAUACAUUAAAUUCAUUAUUUAACCGAGUAAAUCUAAUAGUAUUUUAUUAAGAAAUGUUCAAAGCUAAAAACUACUCAUCUUUUUGUAAUGAUUCCCCAAAUCAUUAUAUCUCUAUAUAUAUUUGAGUCUUUUAUACAAGUAAGAUAAUUCCAUUCAUGUGAGGGAAUAUUGAGAUUUGUUUUAAUAAAAUAUAGUUAAUGGACAUAUUUGAGUUUAGAUUUAAAGUGAGUUUCACUCACUUUCAGAGUUAAAACUUUGUUGAAAAUUAUUUUUUCUACAAAAGUUCUUUAAUAAAGAACAUUAACAUGAUUAAAACAAAUUAUUGGUGAAUAGAAAAUUGAUCUAAAAACCCCUGUCCGACAUGUUUAUUAAAACCCAAAAACUUAUAUCACACAUAGAAAAUAUACAUGGUUGUCUUGAAGUCUAUUUAAGGGGAAGUUGUAGGUACAUAAAUAAACCUAAGCAAUUUGGUAUGGGUUUAGCCCACAUGCAAGUGCUUGGCUCGACUCGAGCUAGGGUCUUUAGGUUUUUUUGUGACCUUUAAAGAUCUAUUUUUGUCAAUUUAUUAUUUCAUUCAGUUCAGCCCAUGAAUUUGAUCAGUUUUCUUUCAAAAGAGUCUUUUUAAACCUCUCAAGUUUUUUUGCUAAAAAAAAUCAAAUCUAAAGCUAAAAUAUUGAGGUUUAAUUAUGGUUUUAUGAAGGGUAAUCAACAAAGUCGGUAAUUGUGAGAAUUAAUUCUUGUAUCAGUUUUGGUUUAAAAAUCCUCUAUAAAAAGAGGGUGGAGUGAAGGAAGAGUUUUCAAUACUGUUUUUCAAAAAAUUAUUAACUUUUUCAAAUAUCAUAUUUUUAGGUUUCUUUUACCUUUUUAAAUUUAUUUUAAAUCUAGAUUUCUUUUCUAAAUCUAGAGCUCAUGUCUAUGAUAUCCACUCUCCCAGAAUUCAAUCAGUCAAGAAGAUUGUUGACAUAAUUAACAAAAUAUUUGCAGUUCUUAAAACAAACAUCUUAUGAGUUAACCCUAAUUGCGGAUUGUUAAGCUAGUUGUUUAACAAGGAAAGAAUUUGAGAGAAAAUAGAAGGAAAGAAUCAGAGAAAAGAAUAGAGAAGAAGAAAUGCACUAUUAUUAUUUGAUUUAUAAGAAAUGUUUGUUUUCAAAUUUAUACCUUAAUUAAUUUCAACUAUCUUGACUAACUAACUCUCUAACUCCCAAUUAAUUUCAACCAACUAACUAAUUGAGCUUAACAAUUGAUACUAUCCUGCAUUCCAGCUGCUGCUGUUGUUUCCUUUAAUUCCAUCAUAUAUAUCUUUUUAUUUAUUUAUUUAUUUAUUGUUUUCUAUUAUUUUAAAUCAAAUUAUUUGCUUCAAGUUCAAGAUAGACUCUGAUACCACCAGUUGUUAAGAUAGUGGCUUAACAAUGAUUCUUUUCCCUUUCCUUUUUUUUUUUUGUUCUCUUAUUCCAUAUUACAUUUUAUUUAUGCCUUCAAAUCUUUGAAAGGCAUCAAAUUGCUUAGCAUACUUUGUGAUGAAAAUCAAUGUCAUUACUAUUUUGUGCACUCAACUGAACUUUUGGAUGUUAAUGUAUUUAGAUUGAUGUUUGUAUUGAUUCAUUAAGUAAAUUUGUUACAAAUAUUAAUUUGAAGUAAAGAAAAAAAUAAAAAAUUUUCAAAUUUUUUCAAAAAUAUUUUUAAAACGCAAAAACAAAAAGGGUAAAAUUUGCCACAAAUAUCUUUGCUGAAUAUAAUAAAUUAUGAAUUAAAUCCUCUUAAUGAUUUUGAUCAACAAAUUUCAUUUAAUAGUACUACCUAAUCUAGAAGAAAAUUUCAGAAGAAAAUUAUUUAGUAGUAAAUGAUGUCCCUUCAAUUUCACAUCCUCGUCUCCAGCUCGCCUUUGAAGCACCUUACCUUUGAAGUUGAUUUAUUUGAUGUAUAAUAUAAUUAUUAGUAAAAAUAAUUAAAUAAGGGUGUAUUAGUUAACUUAAUAUAAAAAAAAUAGAACAAUCAAGUAAAAAUAAAUUGAUGUAGCAUCUCAAGUUUUUUUCAGGGGUGUUUAAUAAUAUUGUAGUUAUUAUUUUUAAAGUGUUUUUUGUUUAUAAAUAUAUUAAAAUAAUAUAUUUUUUAUUUUUUUAAAAUUUAUUUUUAACAUCAGCAAAUCAAAAUAAUUCAAAAAAAUAAAAAUAUUAAUUUAAUUUUUUAUCAAAAUAAUCUAAAAACAUAAAAAUAUUAAUUUAAUUUUUUUUUUAUCACCCUUAUCUUAUGAGCAAAUGCAAGCAGGAAUGAUUCUUGACAUUUUCUCUAGAAAAUCACGAGAAAAGAAUAAGAAUAAAAAUAAGAAUAAGAAUAAGAAUAAAAAUAAAAAAGUAAAGAAAAAGAAACCUUAAGGGAAUUAAUUAACUGACAAGAAGUCGCACAACACGUGCACGUGUGAUGAUGCAUUCUAUAUAACUGCAUCACUCACAGGCAAAGGCAGAGGCCGAUGCCAUUAAAAAGAAGCAGAGAGCAAGGGACGCCUACAAUGUACAAAUCAAAUCUUCAAGCAGUGUGCCAUCAGAGAGGAUGGGAGUUGCCUGCCUAUCAAGUCACUAAACAAGGACAAGAUCACAGCCCUCUCUUUUCAGCCACUGUCACCGUCAACGCCACCUCCUUUUCCUCUCCGUCUCCCUCUUCUUCCUCUAAGAAAGCUCAAAGCGACGCCGCUAAACUCGCCUAUGACCACUUCUCCCUCAUCUCCUCCCCCUCCCCCUACCUUUCUGGUAAUUGAAUUCGUAAUUUUGUCUCUUUUAAUGUAAUGAAAUUACUUCGUAAAUUAAUGUCUGAUUAAGAAUCAAUGCUUGCAUAAUAACAUUUGAUUAUUAUAAUUUAUUUAUAUUUAGAUUAAUUAAUUAUCAUUUUCAUGUUGUUUUUGUUAAUAGAAUGUAUUGAAUGAUUGAUUGAUGCCUGUAAUCAUGAAGCUUUUUAUGAUAAAUCAUUCUAGUGUUGCUUAUGCUUAUUUACACUGCAUCAAGAAAUUAAUAAACUGAUGUUAUGCUGAAGUUUCUGCAGGCAGUACGGGUGGAAGCGCUGGGAAGAAUACUCGUCAAUCUCAUGAAAAUCCAACUCCCCUGUCAAAUACAAAUCCAACUGCUGGGAAGAAUACUCGUCAAUCUCAUGAAAAUCCAACUCCCCUGUCAAAUGCAAAUCCAACUGCUGGGAAGAAUACUCGUCAAUCUCAUGACAAUCCAACUCCCCUGUCAAAAACAAAUCCAACUCCCCUGUCAAAUAAAGCCGUGGCAGUUGCCAAGACUGAUGAGAGUUUUGGAGGUGAGAGCAAAUUUAGUAUUGAUUUUUUUUUUCCUUACAAAAUCAUUACCGUUUCUUAGUGCUGGAGUGGAGUCAGUUGGGUGUGCUUGAUACUCAUGAUUGCAUUCCAAAACGGCAACCAUUUGUUAUGGAAACAAUAGGUUUUCCUCUCUAAAUUAACAGGCAUGAAAACAGGUUAUAUACACAGCAUCUAGAAUUUUUUUUGCUAAAUCAGUUGUCUCUAUGGCGUCAAAAGAUUAACCAACCUCCUUAAAAAAAAAAAAAAAUUGUUCGUAUUCAGCUUAUGAGAAAAAUGAAAGGAACUAAAUACUAACCAUAACCACAUGGCUGAGCUGCCAUAUAUAACAGAGUUUAUGAAAAUUCUUGAUUGUUGAAGAUGGGUUAGAUCGCGAAUCUUGCUUUCCAGCCAUACUUGUGGUGAAUGGACUCUUCCCCAUGCCCAAAUCUCAACAAAUGGAACUAGAGGAAGUCCUUUUAAGAUGCUACUAAGCUUGCUCUGAUAACUUCUCUUGUGUCUAUUUCCCUUGUGUCUCAUUCAAUACUUUUUUUGGGAAUAUAGAAUGGAGGAAAACAUAAGAAUUUCUACUUCAAUUGUUCUAUCAGUCUUUUCUGUGUUUAUUAUUGUUAUUGUAUUUUCUCUGUACUCAGUUGUGCCUCGCUUGGCUGCUGAGAAUCUGCUGCCUGUAACCAAAAUCAUUGUUUUGUAAUUGGGUAAUUUAAUUUAUUUGGUAGCUUAUAGGUUUGUAUUGUAUAGUAUAAAAGGGGAAAGAGGGGACUUUUAUAUUUAACGCACUGUUGGUUGCCAAGUUAUUGCAGCAAAUGAGAAACUGAAUUCUGAUUGAAGGUGGUAGCAUCUACUGACCAUGGAAACCUGAUAUUGAAUCACCUUAUUUUGUGUCUUCAAUAACCCCCCUGUUUAUUUUGUGCUUUCAUGACAAGUCAGUAUUUGACACAUGCAUCUGAAUUUUCUCCUGGCUUACAGGUAUGUUUAAAAACCAGCUGCAAACCUAUGCUCAAAAGAGAAAUUUCACUCUACCUGUGUAUUCUUGUGAGCGUCUGGGUCCUCCUCAUGCUAUUCAAUUUAAGUGCAAGGUCACUGUAAACGGACAAACCUAUGAGAGUCGGGAAUAUUUUCCCACAUUGAACAAAGCUGAAAAUGCAGCUGCAAAAGCUGCAUUGAUGUCAUUGUUGCCAAAUGGAGUUGAAGAGGUUAUUUUUCUAAAUCAACUCAUUGUGGAG